CACUGAACAAAAGUUGUUGCAAUAUAGCGUAUGAUUUGUCAUAUGAAUAACCCAAAAGCUCAACGUUGACGAUUUCGAAAGGCGAUCAUUCGAAAAAAUAAUGACUUGAAAAUCGAAUGACAUCAUGUCUGUAUUGGAAUGAAGAGGCUCGUGAUUUUCAAAUGAGUAACAAAACGUCAAAUGAAUUGCUUGCAUUCGAAAAAGGUAAACGAUGAUGCCUAUGAUUAUCAUCUCAAAAACCAGCAGUGUAUCAUUCGUGUUUCAUCAUUGUUUAGUAUUUGGGCUGAAUCAAAUGAGAAUACAUAUAAUUUUCACUGGAACGCCUAAUGAUUUUCAUACAGCUGUCAGAAAUAUGAAAAAUUAAUAAUCAAACAAAAUAAAAUGGCGAUCAACUACUGAUGCAUCUGCUUAUGUGAGAAUUUACUAACAUAUAAAUAUUUUAUUAAAAAUGUAAAAUAACAAUCUUUCGAAACAUAAAAGCGGUCACCUUUUUUUAUUUGUACAAUGUGGACGUCAACAAACUGCUUGAUAUUUAUUGAGUAAACAACGAACGUCAAUAUUAGCAUUCUGCUGCGACGCUAAUGAAACUACUAGAAUGCAGAAAAAAUAAUCUGGAACCACAAGACAAGGCGUCCUUGGAGCAAACACCAAAAUCCAGCCCAUUCCCCAUCGGUUGCCAUAACAGCGAAGACGAAUUUAUGUACAUAUCCGGCAAAUUAGAGCAAGUCUACAUCGAUGUAACAUCCGUAAGUUAUUGGAGAGACUGGUACCGCCAACUUACGCAAAAACGAACGCGCAGGCGUGGUUAGCCUACGGCAUACUUUCCCACCAAGCAGGGUAUCCACGGUACCAACAAAUGAUCACGUAUAAUCCUGUGGGGCGAUAAAAUUUACGGCAAGAAACAUUUCUUGUUUCAUGGAGAACAAAUAAAAUCUGUUAGAAUCCAAUUUAAGCAUUAACAGCGUACACGUGUCACUAUUGAUGAGUCAUUGGUUCGAAUGGAAACUAUCUGACGAAAGUGACGGUAGUUUAUCGAUCUCCUUCGAAGUCGUAUACCAACAUAAAGGCUGCCACCAUGAACCACCCAUUGAAGCUCUCAAUUUAAGUGAAUGUGAUGACGUUGAUAGAAAAACCUUCGUUUUCGAUUGAUGAAAGAUGGUUAUGGUAAGGUUUUGCAUUAUCAGUGGAAUUCAUAGAAAAUCUUUACGGAACACCGGAAGCUUCUGAAAUCUUCCAAGUAGCCCUGAUGGCUGGAUGUUGGCUGGAAGUAACGAGAUGACGUGACGGUAACCGUAAAAAGCAUGCAAGUAGCACAUCAAAGAGCAACAACACUUCGAGUUCUCCAAUCGGACAUUUUGAUUUGCACAUGAAACCAGAUCUGGUUGGAAAACCCGAUAGCUCGUCAUCACCGUAGUUCCCAAACUUAGUAGACUGCGUAACGCAGCGACUUGACUGAGUUCGGUUAUAAUUGCAGUUUCUGUGAGUUGACUCAUUUCAAUCAAAGAUGCAGUGGAAUGCAAUUGCGGUUCUAAUCUUGGUACCCUUACUACUAAAAAUACGAUAUUCUAAAAGUGAAACUAACGACAAAAUUCCAGCAGAUGAAUUCAUUCGAUUAACACUGCUGCUGUGAAUCGUAAAGAGCAUGAUAGUGGACGUACCCGAUUGAGUUUUUUCUAUUUAUGCAGUCUCUAGGGUAGCAGAAUACGAGCAUUAUAUUAAGUGGGACGACAAACGCUUCUUGGUCAAAUUGAGAAAAAAUGCAAAACCAGAGUUGGGAUCUCAUUCCACUUCAAAUUCAGGACUUUGAAAAGCAACAGGCAUUAACAAUGCCUGUCCCAGCUAAAUACCAGAUUGCAAAGAUCUGCGGAAUAGUGAAAGGAGAGAUGGAAGAAUCUGGCUGAAAUGAAAUGUUGACGAUAGUUUACGGUCUUAAUUUUCAGAUGAAUAACGUCAGUACGUUCAAGGAUUCAACUAGAAAUGAUGAAAUUACUCACUAUGUAUAAAGAGUUUGGUCAAACGGCAGCAGAACGCAGAAAUUUAUUUCCAUGGAUAUCAAACGGGAGAUGGAUUUUGAUUUAUCCAAAGGCUUCAACUUUAAAGCAAGAUUUACACUUCGAGAAACUCGAUCUCUUGAUCUAAAUUAAAGAAACCGUCACGGAUUAAAAUAAAUAAUCCCCAAGCCACAAUAUCGCAGAGAACGAACGUGUUGUUGAACGGCACACCGAAGCAAAGCAGCACCUUAAUUUUUUUUUGAUAACUUCACUGCACUGCAAAAAAGGGUAGAGCUAGGGGCAGAGUAUAUAUUUCAUCAGCAGUGUGAUGUUUAUUAUCUAAUACUAUUAUAGAUAUAGAUAAAUAUAGAUAUUUUAGAUUUAGAUUAGAUUUGACUGAUUAUAAAGUUCCAUUUGUAAUGUACCACAUGGCAGGAAUAUAUAAACAUAGGUUUCCUAAUUUCCUCUGUGACUAAAAUGAAGUAAAAUAAAAUGUUUC
This is a long non-coding RNA of Topomyia yanbarensis, 2490 nucleotides long. RefSeq lists it as uncharacterized. NCBI's taxonomy places the organism in Eukaryota, Metazoa, Arthropoda, Insecta, Diptera, Culicidae. The transcript has 5 exons. The record is from RefSeq and is a predicted model, not a curated record.